UGGCUGCUGGCGAGGCGGAGAGCAGUACCAUGAGACAUUUAGGUUUAUUUUUUUACAUUUUCUCCGUGAACCGUGUCUUCUUUCAUCCUACCGUCUUGUGAGAAGCAAGGCAAGUAUCCCACACCACGGAGGAGCUGGUGUUCGAGUGGGACCCCGUGGUGCCCCUGGACGUGGACCCCACCAUAGAACUCCCCCAGAAGGACAUCAGGAAUUACACCUCAGACUGCACUCAGGUGUACUCCACAGAUGAGCGUAACUUCACAUGCCUGGAGGUGGUGUUCACGCUGAAGAGAUGUCUCGGGUACUACGUCUUCCAUACCUACAUUCCAACCUGCCUCGUCGUUAUUAUGUCUCCUGAGAUCGCCCCAGCCUGCGUGACUCUGGGUGUGACUUCCCUCCUGACGCUCUUCACGCAACAGACCAAGUCUCAAGCUUCCUUACCGCCGGUCUCCUACAUUAAAACCAUCGAUAUAUUCAUGUCAUCCUAUACCGUGUUUGUGUUCAUGGUGCUUAUUGAGUACGCCGUGGUGAACAUUAUCCUGGGUGACGGCUCAGGGGACGCGGCGAAAUGCCCUGCGAAGCCUGAACCCAAGCCCAGCAAAGCAACUGACCAAGUACCUGGGUGUUCAGAUGAGCUUUAGGAAGUCUCUUCAAGCCGUCCACUAUGUUCGAGUCUUCUGUCUGCCACGGCUAGCACCACUUCGGCUGCUAGCCAACAGGGGCCUG
Molecule: unclassified non-coding RNA, 726 nt
Filed under: Portunus trituberculatus (swimming crab)
Lineage: Eukaryota; Metazoa; Arthropoda; Malacostraca; Decapoda; Portunidae
Description: glycine receptor subunit alpha-2-like, transcript variant X1
Source: RNAcentral